AUUGCCAAAUUGAAGCCUUUGAAGAUUUGAAAAUUGACUAUAUGUGUUUGCCUUCUUUAUUUUUAAUUUUUUUUAAUCUUUCUGAUGUAUUAUAUGUAUAGGGUUUCUCAUAGAGCUAAUAAUGUACUCUGAAUAGAUAUGGGGUUAGGAUAUUAAUCUUAUGAUGCUCCAUGAUGUGUUUAUUAAAAAGUGACGAGUGGGAUAUCAUUUUAGGUUGAUG
This 220-nucleotide unclassified non-coding RNA is filed under the name Hevea brasiliensis (rubber tree). The record is from RNAcentral. Lineage: Eukaryota; Viridiplantae; Streptophyta; Magnoliopsida; Malpighiales; Euphorbiaceae.